Molecule: ribosomal RNA, 514 nt
Filed under: uncultured bacterium
Lineage: Bacteria
Description: bacterial SSU rRNA
Rfam family: Bacterial small subunit ribosomal RNA
Source: RNAcentral
GACGAACGCUGGCGGCGUGCUUAACACAUGCAAGUCGAGGGGCAGCAUAGGGUAGCAAUACUCUGAUGGCGACCGGCAAACGGGUGAGUAACGCGUAUGCAACCUACCCUGUACAGGGGGAUAACCCGGAGAAAUUCGGACUAAUAUCCCGUAAUAAUAUCCGGAGGCAUCUUUGGAUAUUUAAAGUUCCGACGGUACGGGAUGGGCAUGCGUAACAUUAACUGGUUGGUAAGGUAACGGCUUACCAAGGCUAUGAUGUUUAGGGGUCCUGAGAGGGUGGUCCCCCACACUGGUACUGAGACACGGACCAGACUCCUACGGGAGGCAGCAGUGAGGAAUAUUGGUCAAUGGGCGCAAGCCUGAACCAGCCAUCCCGCGUGCAGGAAGACGGCCCUAUGGGUUGUAAACUGCUUUUCCAGGGAGAGAAACUUACGCACGUGUUGCGUGACUGACGGUACCCUGGGAAUAAGCAUCGGCUAACUCCGUGCCAGCAACCGCGGUAAAACGUCUACUG